Molecule: ribosomal RNA, 253 nt
Filed under: uncultured bacterium
Lineage: Bacteria
Description: partial 16S ribosomal RNA
Rfam family: Bacterial small subunit ribosomal RNA
Source: RNAcentral
UACGUAGGAGGCAAGCGUUGUCCGGAAUUACUGGGCGUAAAGCGCGUGUAGGUGGUGGGACAAGUCUGCUGUGAAAGCGCCUGGCUUAACCGGGCGGGGUCGGCGGAAACUGUCCGACUCGAGGACGGUAGAGGGGGGUGGAAUUCCCGGUGUAGUGGUGAAAUGCGUAGAGAUCGGGAGGAACACCUGUGGCGAAGGCGGCCCCCUGGGCCGGCCCUGACACUGAGACGCGAAGGCGUGGGGAGCGAACGGG